This 1045-nucleotide ribosomal RNA is filed under the name uncultured archaeon 2MT53. Its description in RNAcentral is "bacterial SSU rRNA". It matches the Rfam family "Archaeal small subunit ribosomal RNA", at positions 1 to 1053 of the family's 1478-position model. The record is from RNAcentral.
UCCGUUUGAUCCCGCCGGAGGUUACUGCUAUCGAGGUUCGACUAAGCCAUGCGAGUCGAAUGUAGCAAUACAUGGCGUACUGCUCAGUAACACGUGGACAACCUACCCUUAGGUCGGGGAUAAACCCGGGAAACUGGGUAUAAUACCCGAUAGUCCUCGGAUGCUGGAAUGCACCGAGGUCUAAAGCUCCGGCGCCUAAGGAUGGGUCUGCGGCCUAUCAGGUAGUAGUGGGUGUAGCGUACCUACUAGCCUACGACGGGUACGGGUUGUGAGAGCAAGAGCCCGGAGAUGGAUUCUGAGACACGAAUCCAGGCCCUACGGGGUGCAGCAGGCGCGAAAACUUUACAAUGCUGGAAACAGCGAUAAGGGAACCUCGAGUGCCAGGUUACAAAUCUGGCUGUCGUGAUGCCUAAAAAGCAUUGCAUAGCAAGGGCCGGGCAAGACCGGUGCCAGCCGCCGCGGUAACACCGGCGGCUCGAGUGGUAACCGCUAUUAUUGGGUCUAAAGGGUCUGUAGCCGGCCGGAUAAGUCUUUUGGGAAAUCUGGCAGCUUAACUGUCAGGCUUUCAGAGGAUACUGUCUGGCUCGAGGCCGGGAGAGGUGAGAGGUACUUCAGGGGUAGGGGUGAAAUCUUGUAAUCCUUGAAGGACCACCAGUGGCGAAGGCAUCUCACCAGAACGGACCUGACGGCAAGGGACGAAAGCUAGGGGCACGAACCGGAUUAGAUACCCGGGUAGUCCAAGCCGUAAACGAUACUCGCUAGGUGUCGGCCACGGUGCGACCGUUGUCGGUGCCGUAGGGAAGCCGUGAAGCGAGCCACCUGGGAAGUACGGCCGCAAGGCUGAAACUUAAAGGAAUUGGCGGGGGAGCACCACAACGGGUGGAGCUUGCGGUUAAAUUGGAUUCAACGCCGGAAAUCUUACCGGGACCGACAGCAACAUGAAGGCCAGGCUGAAGACUUUGCUGGAUUAGCUGAGAGGUGGUGCAUGGCCGUCGUCAGUUCGUACUGUGAAGCAUCCUGUUAAGUCAGGCAACGAGCGAGACCC